This 484-nucleotide ribosomal RNA is filed under the name uncultured bacterium. RNAcentral describes it as "partial 16S ribosomal RNA". It matches the Rfam family "Bacterial small subunit ribosomal RNA", at positions 30 to 507 of the family's 1533-position model. The record is from RNAcentral.
AUUGAACGCUGGCGGCAGGCCUAACACAUGCAAGUCGAGCGGAUGAAGGGAGCUUGCUCCUGGAUUCAGCGGCGGACGGGUGAGUAAUGCCUAGGAAUCUGCCUGGUAGUGGCGGAUAACGCCCGGAAACGGGCGCUAAUACCGCAUACGUCCUGAGGGAGAAAGUGGGGGAUCUUCGGACCUCACGCUAUCAGAUGAGCCUAGGUCGGAUUAGCUAGUUGGUGGGGUAAAGGCCUACCAAGGCGACGAUCCGUAACUGGUCUGAGAGGAUGAUCAGUCACACUGGAACUGAGACACGGUCCAGACUCCUACGGGAGGCAGCAGUGGGGAAUAUUGGACAAUGGGCGAAAGCCUGAUCCAGCCAUGCCGCGUGUGUGAAGAAGGUCUUCGGAUUGUAAAGCACUUUAAGUUGGGAGGAAGGGCAGUAAGUUAAUACCUUGCUGUUUUGACGUUACCAACAGAAUAAGCACCGGCUAACUUCGUG